UACAGAGGUCCCGAGCGUUGUUCGGAUUCACUGGGCGUAAAGGGUGCGUAGGUGGUUGUGCAAGUCUGAUGUGAAAUCUCCGGGCUUAACCCGGAAAUGGCAUUGGAAACUGCAUGGCUAGAGUGUUGGAGGGGGGACUGGAAUUCUCGGUGUAGCAGUGAAAUGCGUAGAUAUCGAGAGGAACACCAGUGGCGAAGGCGAGUCCCUGGACAACGACUGACGCUGAGGCACGAAAGCUAGGGGAGCAAACAGG
RNAcentral lists this ribosomal RNA (253 nucleotides) under uncultured bacterium. Its description in RNAcentral is "partial 16S ribosomal RNA". It matches the Rfam family "Bacterial small subunit ribosomal RNA", at positions 524 to 776 of the family's 1533-position model. The record is from RNAcentral.